This 863-nucleotide long non-coding RNA is filed under the name Vulpes vulpes (red fox). RNAcentral's name for it is "lncRNA (ENSVVUG00000010436.1)". Lineage: Eukaryota; Metazoa; Chordata; Mammalia; Carnivora; Canidae. The record is from RNAcentral.
CCCGCUUCCCCCCGACCCUGCCAUCAUCCUUCUGCUAAAGCACUUUCUCAAUGCAAUGUAGUCAUUUGAUUUCUUCUCUGCCACCCUGUCUUGCAAUCGGAGGUCAGGGAGGGAAAGAUUGUUUCUUAUUCAUCUUGAAAGCACAGUGCCUGAUAAAUAUCUCAUCAAUUCAGGAUUGAAUGAUAGACUAAAUGUAUGAAUGGGAAGCAGGAGCCACACAUUUAUUUGCUUCAGUGUUUAUUAGAAAAUGACCAUCUUACAGGUUGUUGUUAUUCCACAAUUUAGGAAUUUGUAGGUAUUUAAAGUAUACAGUGGAAUGGGAAUGUGAGAGAAUUCUAGGUUCCUGCUAAAUGUCAUCCCUUCUCUACUCCAGGAUUCUGCUGAAUCUCAUGCAUAUGUAUGGCAAGAUCUUCUUUCUUCCCUUGUUCAGACAUAUUCUGAUUUAAACUUAUUACAUCAGGUCCUUGGACUACAGAGAACUCACGCUCUGGCUGCAAAUUGUUUGCCUCAAAGAGACAUAAAUAACCACAACUGCCACAAAAUAAAGCAGCCUUGCCUGAAUAGAAAUGUGCACUCAACCAGAGCUUCGAGGUGUUCGGAAGCAAGCUGACCAAAGUUUUGGAGGUUGGAUGGGUCUUUUGGUGACAUGAGUUGUAUAACAAUAACAACUUACAAUACUUUAACAUGUUAAGACAUUUUUAGUUGGGACAAAUGGAAUCAACAAAAAGAGAUGCAGCUAUAAACCAAACACUACUGCUGUAUUUUCUCCUUUUGCAAAAAAAAAAUUAUUUAUGAGGAAACAUAGCUGAGUUUUCACAUGUGUAGAUUAGGUCAAUGGGUGAUUAGAAUUUAGAGCAUAAAAG